AGAGUUUGAUCAUGGCUCAGAUUGAACGCUGGCGGCAGGCCUAACACAUGCAAGUCGAGCGGCAGCGGGAAGUAGUUUACUACUUUGCCGGCGAGCGGCGGACGGGUGAGUAAUGUCUGGGGAUCUGCCUGAUGGAGGGGGAUAACUACUGGAAACGGUAGCUAAUACCGCGUGACCUCGCAAGAGCAAAGUGGGGGACCUUAGGGCCUCACGCCAUCGGAUGAACCCAGAUGGGAUUAGCUAGUAGUGGGGUAAUGGCUCACCUAGGCGACGAUCCCUAGCUGGUCUGAGAGGAUGACCAGCCACACUGGAACUGAGACACGGUCCAGACUCCUACGGGAGGCAGCAGUGGGGAAUAUUGCACAAUGGGCGCAAGCCUGAUGCAGCCAUGCCGCGUGUGUGAAGAAGGCCUUCGGGUUGUAAAGCACUUUCAGCGAGGAGGAAGGGGUUGAGUUUAAUACGCUCAAUCAUUGACGUUACUCGCAGAAGAAGCACCGGCUAACUCCGUGCCAGCAGCCGCGGUAAUACGGAGGGUGCAAGCGUUAAUCGGAAUUACUGGGCGUAAAGCGCACGCAGGCGGUUUGUUAAGUCAGAUGUGAAAUCCCCGCGCUUAACGUGGGAACUGCAUUUGAAACUGGCAAGCUAGAGUCUUGUAGAGGGGGGUAGAAUUCCAGGUGUAGCGGUGAAAUGCGUAGAGAUCUGGAGGAAUACCGGUGGCGAAGGCGGCCCCCUGGACAAAGACUGACGCUCAGGUGCGAAAGCGUGGGGAGCAAACAGGAUUAGAUACCCUGGUAGUCCACGCUGUAAACGAUGUCGACUUGGAGGUUGUGCCCUUGAGGCGUGGCUUCCGGAGCUAACGCGUUAAGUCGACCGCCUGGGGAGUACGGCCGCAAGGUUAAAACUCAAAUGAAUUGACGGGGGCCCGCACAAGCGGUGGAGCAUGUGGUUUAAUUCGAUGCAACGCGAAGAACCUUACCUACUCUUGACAUCCACAGAAUUUGGCAGAGAUGCUAAAGUGCCUUCGGGAACUGUGAGACAGGUGCUGCAUGGCUGUCGUCAGCUCGUGUUGUGAAAUGUUGGGUUAAGUCCCGCAACGAGCGCAACCCUUAUCCUUUGUUGCCAGCACGUAAUGGUGGGAACUCAAGGGAGACUGCCGGUGACAAACCGGAGGAAGGUGGGGGAUGACGUCAAGUCAUCAUGGGCCCUUACGAGUAGGGCUACACACGUGCUACAAUGGCAGAUACAAAGUGAAGCGAACUCGCGAGAGCCAGCUGGACCACAUAAAGUCUGUCGUAGUCCGGAUUGGAGU
RNAcentral lists this ribosomal RNA (1309 nucleotides) under Yersinia pestis biovar Mediaevalis str. K1973002. RNAcentral describes it as "bacterial SSU rRNA". It matches the Rfam family "Bacterial small subunit ribosomal RNA", at positions 8 to 1304 of the family's 1533-position model. Lineage: Bacteria; Pseudomonadati; Pseudomonadota; Gammaproteobacteria; Enterobacterales; Yersiniaceae. The record is from RNAcentral.